RNA transcript from Pleuronectes platessa (European plaice), 2235 nucleotides. It is a transcript of the gene named RNA-binding protein 4B, with no coding region annotated. The record is from RefSeq and is a predicted model, not a curated record. The transcript is spliced from 7 exons. NCBI's taxonomy places the organism in Eukaryota, Metazoa, Chordata, Actinopteri, Pleuronectiformes, Pleuronectidae.
UUCCAUCCACUAAUCAGAUCCCUGGCUGCGCGCAUUUCGUCAGCCGGUAUUUCCUGUUUGUCAUACCGGGGUUUCGGCUUGGCGGUGGCUCCUUCCACAACCAGUCCACUGGAGCAGUCAUGGUGAAGAUUUUCAUCGGGAACCUGUCCCAGCACGCCGGGAAGGACGAGGUGGAGGCGCUGUUCGCCCAGUACGGCACAGUGACAGAGUGUGCCAAGUACAAGAACUAUGCUUUCGUCCACAUGGAAGACCGCAAGUGUGCCACCAAGGCCAUCCGUGAGCUGCACCUCCACAAGCUGAACGGCAGGCCCAUCAAUGUGGAGCUCAGCCGGGGGAAGAACCAGGGGCCGGUGAAGCUGCACGUCGCCAAUGUGGAAAAGGGGUUCGAUGAGGAGCUCCGCACCCUCUUCGAGGAGUACGGCACCGUCACAGAGUCCGCCAUCAUCAAGGACUUCGCCUUUGUGCACAUGUCCGACUCGGAUGAGGCCAUGGAUGCCAUCAAGGGUCUGGAUAACAUCGAAUUUCAAGGAAAGCGCAUUCAUGUUCAGAUAUCAAGAAGCAGACCCAGAGGACCACCUGAGGAGGAGGCCUAUCCACCGCCGCCCGGCCGAGGAGACUACUAUCCUCCACGCUACCCAGGCAUGGGGCCCGAGCCUCCCUACAGGGGGCGCAUGUCUGCUUACCCUCCUCCGCCUCCGCCGCCCCCUCCCCCGAGACGAGCGCCGUACCCCGACCGGGGCUACGGUGAGCGAGUCGAUUAUGGGGUGGUCGACUACUACGAGAAAUUCAGAGCCCGUCCUAUGGGCAACGAUGACAGGCGUGCCAUCCCCCCUCCUCCGCCUCCCCCCUCGGCGCUGGUCAGAGAGCGUCUUGGGAUGGGGUCGUUCGAUCCGUAUGAGCGGCGCCCGCCCCAAUAUGCUCCUCCGUCCUACAUGGCCAGAGACCGAAGCCCCAUCAGAAGAGCACCCCCACCCCCUGCUCCAUCCGCAGGUAACGGGUUCUCCUAUGAGCGGGCCCGGCUCUCUCCGAUGUCCAGAGCGCCGAUGUAUGGAGCUCCCCGUCCCAGGGACUCCUACAUGGAGAGGCCGCCUCCCCCGCCACCACCACCACAACAACAACCUCGCUAUGCCGGCUAUUAGGCACCAGAGAGUACAACACAAGGUUGUUAGACUCUAGGCAGGAGAUCCCAGCUCAGGGUAAGUCAUCCUCGGAAGAUGACCUGCACCCUGACGAAGAGGGAGAUAUUGCUCAAACGGGAUUUUGUCUGCUAGGUGGGGCGACUAUAAUGUGUCUUUAUGGGUUUGGCAGAGUACACGGGAUGAGACGAUCCUGUGGUCAAAGGAAGCUGACGUAGUGCGGUGUGGUCCAGUGUUUGGUGACCUGGAGUGAAGAAGAAGAAGAGAACCUGCGUGCCUGCAUCAGCUGAUCAUAACUCCAGAAUAAAGGGCUUGGUGACCACAUGGGAAACGUUCGGCUUUCAACAGUCAAUAUAAAAUGUCUGCAUCGAAAGCUGAGGCCACACAGCAGGCCGAGACGCUUCAUGGGACAGCGGUGCAGACGACGGGGAUGGAGUCAUCUACAGUGGACAAUCCGGGCUAAGCUGCCUCACUUGGACAUUUCUCGGCUGUGCGCCACAACUGUAACCUGCCACGGGUGAAUGAGCUGGACUUGUACUGUCGGGGGUCCACGGCAAGCCUCGUCCUGGUCGCACCGUAAAAUCUCCACCCACUCGGUCAGCGUCUGAGAACUGGGAGAGAAAACGGCGCUGCUCAGAACGAGGGGCGCUCAAGACGGAGCAGCUUGAGUCCCCCCCACCACCCCACAGUGCACCACCUGCACUGCGUUCCUCUCCACUGACUCUUUCACUUAAGAUUCAGGCAAAAGAAUGUAAUACCUCUUGAAAAAGUAUUAUAUAUGAACUUUGAUAAGCACUGAACUCUGAAUCAUCUCCUUGACAUUCUUCCCAGAGGGGUGGGACUCUGACUGGAAGGAGGACAACUACCUGUUACUCACUUUUAGAGCGUUAAUCUCAUUUACAGAUUGAUGGAGGGCGGCUACUGAAAAUGGCCAGAAAAAUGGAAAGCUGCAUGAGGAAAAUGUAACAAAGUUGAAUCGACUUGAGCAGGACUCCAUAACAGAGGGCAACAUGUAACCACAGCCAACAACUCCUAUUCAUACGCAAAUAAACCACAAUGAAAUAAAAAGUGUGGGACUCCACGUCUAUUACCAGUUUUA